RNAcentral lists this ribosomal RNA (253 nucleotides) under uncultured bacterium. RNAcentral describes it as "partial 16S ribosomal RNA". It matches the Rfam family "Bacterial small subunit ribosomal RNA", at positions 524 to 776 of the family's 1533-position model. The record is from RNAcentral.
UACGUAGGGGGCAAGCGUUAUCCGGAUUUACUGGGUGUAAAGGGAGCGUAGACGGCAGGGCAAGUCUGGAGUGAAAGGCAGGGGCCCAACCCCUGGACUGCUCUGGAAACUGGCGGGCUGGAGUGCCGGAGAGGUAAGCGGAAUUCCUAGUGUAGCGGUGAAAUGCGUAGAUAUUAGGAGGAACACCAGUGGCGAAGGCGGCUUACUGGACGGCAACUGACGCUGAGGCUCGAAAGCGUGGGGAGCAAACGGG